GAGCCCUUCUCUCCUGUGUCC
Molecule: non-coding RNA, 21 nt
Filed under: Arabidopsis thaliana (thale cress)
Lineage: Eukaryota; Viridiplantae; Streptophyta; Magnoliopsida; Brassicales; Brassicaceae
Source: RNAcentral